UGGGGAAUUUUGGACAAUGGGCGAAAGCCUGAUCCAGCAAUGCCGCGUGUGUGAAGAAGGCCUUCGGGUUGUAAAGCACUUUUGUCCGGAAAGAAAUCCUUGGCUCUAAUACAGUCGGGGGAUGACGGUACCGGAAGAAUAAGCACCGGCUAACUACGUGCCAGCAGCCGCGGUAAUACGUAGGGUGCAAGCGUUAAUCGGAAUUACUGGGCGUAAAGCGUGCGCAGGCGGUUUGCUAAGACCGAUGUGAAAUCCCCGGGCUCAACCUGGGAACUGCAUUGGUGACUGGCAGGCUAGAGUAUGGCAGAGGGGGGUAGAAUUCCACGUGUAGCAGUGAAAUGCGUAGAGAUGUGGAGGAAUACCGAUGGCGAAGGCAGCCCCCUGGGCCAAUACUGACGCUCAUGCACGAAAGCGUGGGGAGCAAACAGGAUUAGAUACCCUGGUAGUCCACGCCCUAAAACGAUGUCAACUAGUUGUUGGGGAUUCAUUUCCUUAGUAACGUAGCUAACGCGUGAAGUUGACCGCCUGGGGAGUACGGUCGCAAGAUUAAAACUCAAAUGAAUUGACGGGGUCAU
RNAcentral lists this ribosomal RNA (575 nucleotides) under uncultured bacterium. RNAcentral describes it as "partial 16S ribosomal RNA". It matches the Rfam family "Bacterial small subunit ribosomal RNA", at positions 355 to 922 of the family's 1533-position model. The record is from RNAcentral.